Molecule: long non-coding RNA, 5328 nt
Organism: Ictalurus punctatus (channel catfish)
Lineage: Eukaryota; Metazoa; Chordata; Actinopteri; Siluriformes; Ictaluridae
Source: Ensembl
GGGGGGAUAUAUGAUACAUUGAGGAACAGCGGUGUCAGUCAGUGGUACGGAAACAUUGAUGAUAAUACGGUGUUGUGUCAUAAUCAUGUCCUAAUGAUCAUAUCAUCGUUGUGUGUGUGUAAUGAAUCCAGCAAUAGUAGGGAGAGUGUCGUUUUCCUCUCGUCAUUGUCCCAGGAUGUUGUCACGUCCUUCACAGUCAGAAUGUCCCGCUGCUGUAAAGGAGAAAUCCUUCAAGCUGAUGGUAAGAAGGUGCUCGACAAAACAGCCGGUCUCCACUUGUUUUCGCGAUUGCAGCUGAUUGCAUCUCUUACAGGAGAGACGAUGAAGUGUGAGGAGCGACUGAAACUGAUCCUGUGAUUUACACACUCGUGCGUCUCGAAUGCUGCGAUGGCGCAGGAUGGACAGUCCUGCAGAGCUCCGUGGAUGCGGUGUCGGGACUGAGGUAUAAUCCGAGCCUCUGGUUUAUGAGUAGAACGAUACACGAUAGCUUGAGCAAGGUUCAGUUCCUCACAUGGCUUCUGUGUCGAACUGAGAGGUGUGAAGUGCUUUCCUCCAGCGGCAGACAGAGGGCGCCGGCUCCUUUACAGACAACACACGGGCGGCUGGAGAACAGCUGGCGAGGCAGUAAGACAGAAAGAGGGAAAUGUCUGCCCACACGGGAGAGAGAAGGAAGAUAUGGUUAGGUUAGAGUGUUUAAGUUUAUAUGUGAGUGAAUGAGGGAAAGCAGAAGUGUUGUAAAUGAGGGAGGAGUGUGAGCGGAGAGAGAGAUAAUGAUGUAGGCGAUGGAGUGAGGUGGAGACAUGGAGGAAAGCAGGGAGACAAUCUGGUGUGCCCUUAAACACUCAUCUCUCUUAAAUUACCAUCUCUCUCUCUUUCUCUCUCUCUCUCUCUUUCUGUCUUUCACUUAUCUGUCUGUCUCUUUCAAUCUUUCUCUCUCUGUCUCUCACUAUCUCUCUCUUUCUUCUGUCUCUCUUUUGCUUUCGCCCUCUCUUUGUCUCUUUCUCUGUCUCUAUCUCACACUCUCUUUCUCUCUGUCUGUCUGUCUGUCUCUCUCUCUGUCUUUCACUCAUCUCUCUCACUGUCUGUCUGUCUUUCUCCCUUUCUCUUUCACUUUCUCCCUCUUUUGCUCGCUUUCUCUCUUUGUGUCUCUCACUGGCUCUCUUUCUUUCUGUCUCUCUCUUUUACUGUCACCCUCUCUUUGUGUCUUUCUCUGUCUCUAUCUCACACGCUUUUUCUCUCUGCCUCUGUCUGUCUGUCUCUCUCUCUCUCUCUCUCUCUCUCUCUCUCUUUCUCUCACUUUCCCAAACCCCCCCCCCCCCCCCCCCCCCCCCCCCCAACCUCUCCCCUGCCGCUGUAAUUUAGACCGUAGCGGGAGCUGAAGGCCAGAGCGGUUCAGGCUGCUGGCGCUUGUCCGUGCACAAGGAUUUUUCAUUUUACUUAAUGGCACAUAUCAUAUCAGGAUUUCACACGGCUUCUCCCCCGGGGAGCCAGCCACGCUCGCGGCAAUUAGAGUGACAGCGGCCAGGCGGGUAUCAUCCCAGCGGUGCUCUGAGGACUGCUAACUAGCCCUGAGAGAACUCUGAGAGCCUGAGAGAGAGAGAGAGAGAGAGAGAGAGCGAGAGACAGAGACACUGAGUGAGAUCCAGCACUGGGGGAUUCAAAUUAACUAGGGCGAAAGAGGGACAGGAUUAAAAGCACCUUGUAUCACCUCAUACAGCAGAUUCAGAGCAGUCAUGAAGGGGGAAAGCAGAGCUGCCUCAUAAGGGACACACACCACACACGGGAAUCAGGAUCACUGGGGAAAAAAGAUGGAGAGCCAGGUUUGAGAGAGGCACUGCCGAGAUAGUCACGUUCGAGAGAGUCAGAUUUGAGAGAAAGUGAGGUUUGAAAGUCAGUACCAAGAAAGAGUCAGAUUUGAGUGAGAGUCAGUAGAGAGAGAGAAAGUGCGGUUAGAGAGUCAGUACUGAGAUAGAAUCAUGUUAAAGAAAGAGUCAUUCAUGUUAGAGAGUCAGAUUUGAGAGAAAGUGCGGUUAGAGAGUCAGUACUGAGAUAGAAUCAUGUUAAAGAAAGAGUCAUUCAUGUUAGAGAGUCAGAUUUGAGAGAAAGUGCGGUUAGAGAGUCAGUACUGAGAUAGAAUCAUGUUAAAGAAAGAGUCAUGUUAGAGAGAGAGUCAGAUUUGACAGAAAGUGACGUGUGAGAGUCAGCACUAUGAUAAUCAUGUUAGAGUCAGUAUUGACAGUCAUGUUUGAGAGAGAGUCAGAUUUGACAAAGUGACGUGUGAGAGUCAGCACUAUGAUAGAAUCAUGUUAGAGAAAGAGUCAGUAUUGACAGAGUCAUGUUUGAGAGAGAGUCAGAUUUGACAAAGUGACAUGUGAGAGUCAGCACUAUGAUAGAAUCAUGUUAGAGAAAGAGUCAGUAUUGACAGAGUCAUGUUUGAGAGAGAGUCAGAUUUGACAAAGUGACAUGUGAGAGUCAGCACUAUGAUAGAAUCAUGUUAGAGAAAGAGUCAGUAUUGACAGAGUCAUGUUUGAGAGAGAGUCAGAUUUGAGAGAAAGUGAGGUUUCAGAGUGAGCACUGAGAAAGUGUCAAGUUUGAGUGAGCGUCAGUAGAGAGAGUCAGUUUUGAGACACGGAGUCAGGUUUGAGAGAGUCAGUUUCAAGUGAAGGUACAUUUUGAAAGAGAAAGACAUUAUGUCUUGUAAGUAAAUCAGCCUGAAAGCGCCAUUCCUCAAAAUGAGUUCUUUCGAAUGAUAGUUUUAAUUUUCUCAUAGUGAUGUGUGUUUUAUAUUGUACAGCAUCUAUAAAAAGUAUAUACUAUUCAUACGUAGUUCUCUCUCUCUCUCUCUCUCUCUCUCUCUCUCUCUCUCUCUCUCUCUCUCUCUCUCUCUCCACCAAUAAUAAUGCCUGCUUGGUCAGGGAGAUCAAUAGGUAGUGAUGCCUGACUGAACGUCUCCUCUCUGGACCUGCACGGAGACGCUCUCGCUCUUGGUUCUGGCCCAAAAUGCCAAUCUGGGCCAUACCAAUAUUGAGCAGUGGGGGGGAUCAGUGUUCUCCACAUGCAGUCGUUUAGCAGACUCUGCUGCCACUGGGAAAAAUCGCUCAUCAAUCUGGCAGAGUCUGCUUCCCCUUAAUGUAGCCCACACACACACAGAUACACACACACCACUGCCAGCUUGCUUAAUGACUUUAUAUUUGAUCAAUUAAGAGUCAUUUUGCAGUUUUGCUCUGGCCUGUGGAGAUAUGGCAGUGUAUUUGAGUGGCAGAUGGAAGGUGAAGUGCUGCUGUGGGAUGGACUGUGGGGUUUGGGGCAGCAAAGUGCUCGGCUAAUUGAGGAAAAACACAAAGACAUCCCUCACGAACUCGCUCGUUCUGUCUUUUUUCUCAUCACAGAUACCUUUAUCUCCUCGCACUCUUCUCUCCAUCACUCCACAGCUCUUUUUUUUUUUUUUUUCCUUUCUUCCUCUCUGUUUCCUGCCUGUCAUCCUUGCCAAGUCAGUGUGAGGGAAUUUGAGUAAUAAGGUGAGGUGAGCUUUGGGUGACUGCCAGGUUUGGAGGCGAGGUAGUGCAGACGAGGACAGAGGAGAGUCUACCUGCCCUGAGUGAUCCGUGUCUGAGCCACACACACACACGCACACACACAGAAGCCUCGGGGAGAAAUCCAAGCCAGCAAUCCAAGGAAGUGGAGGACAGAGCAGCAAAAGCCUCUGACAGUCAGGGUGAUGAGAGAGAGAGAGUGAGAGAGUAGGAAAGUGCUUUCCACAGUAAAACAAAAAAAAAAAUCAACACUUGAUGGCUGUGUGUGUGUGUGUGCGCUCUGGAGGAGUGUGGCCUGAUAACUGGAGCAGGUAGUAUACAUUGCACACGCCGGAGGAAAAACCACGAGAGAACGAGAUUGUAGAACUCUCACCCAAUCGUCUUCUUGGUAGAGAAGCUGGAGGGAGGUGAACUCUGCCUUCACAACAGGAAGUGACACGAGAUGGGCGGGAUGUAACAUGAGCGACCCAAAAAAAAGUUGAGAGGAGUUUAAGCAAAUGAGAAGCAAAGUGAUGUAGCGACUACUAAUGAACGACCACAGAUCGCUUGGUGUGUUUUUGCCAGAUAUUCGCUCCUAGUCACAGCUCUUAACGCUCUUGGUCGAAACUCCCACUGGUUGGUUUGACGUACAAUGAAAGCCAAGCGCAAACUUUGCAAACUUUCAGCCAAUUACGACUCUAUUAGCGGUGAAGCGGUUAGCGUUGACUCCUCACAGCUCCAGGGUUCCCGCUUUGAGCUCGGGUUACUCUCCAUGUGGACUUUUGCAUGUUCUCCCAGUGUUCCUCCAUGUUCUACAGUUUCCUCCGACCUCCCAAAAUCACAUCUAGGUGGACUGUCUACGCUAGAUUGCCCAUAAGUGUGAAUGAGUGAACGCACAUGUGGUGCUCUGUUAUAGCUCAGCUUCCAGCCCGGGAUAUGCUCCAAGAUCUCCAGUGACCAGAAUAAAGCAGUGAAUGAAUAACACUACUAAUCAGUGAUGUACUGGACUGAAAUGUCAUUUUUAGCAUCUGAUUCGUGCUAUAAAUGGGUCAACCUCGUUUUUUUUUUUUCCCUCGCUUUGUGUUAAAACCUUGAAUCGGUGAUACUAAUUUUCUGAUCGAUCCUAUUCCAAGUACAGUAAUACUGAGACUAGUAUCCUGAUCCAGAUUCUGGAUCUUGAGUAUAAUAUGUGAAGUAAAUCAUUUGAGAGUGUUCUCUCUUUCCUGUUUAAUUGUGGAGAAAUAAUCCAUAUACUGUAAUAUCACUAAGAAUACACGUUCAGUCUCUUUCUCAUACGAGUGUGUGUGUGUGUGUGUGUGUGUGUGUGUGUGUGUGCAUGAAACUGAUGGUGGACAGGAAGAGAUGUCAGAAGGAGCAGUAGUUCCUGCGCAUCAAUAUUAUUUCACAUUUUGGUCGAUAAAAAGAUAAGCACACACUGUCGAUAAUUCUUAUAUUAGGAUUGAUUUUUUUUUUUUUUUUUAUAAAGAAAUCUCAUGAUCGAUUCUCUGAUAUCGAUCUGUCCCAUCCCUAAUAUGGGCAGAAACCAGUUUGAAAAGACGCUGUAAAAAAAAAAAAAAAAAGAAGAAGAAGGAAAAAAAAAGCCAGCAUUAAUGGAACGGCUUGAGUUUUUAAAAUGUUUUGUUAAAUGCGGGUGUGCAGGGGAAAGAAACGCCGAGAUUGAGUGGCGCUCGUGUCCGUCAUCGAGAAGCUCGGCUCAGCACUCGGAACACAUGCAUCUCAUAUUUCACCUCAGCAAGUUACUGUGUACACACGCAGUGAACGUUCAUGUAGAGUGAAAGCAUUUAAUCAGCUCUCC